GGUGGUUCACAGGUGAUGCACUCCAGAAUCGGGCUCCCUCCUCUCUGGUUCCGGGUGUAUCACCCUAGAACCUCA
This is a non-coding RNA of Myotis brandtii (Brandt's bat), 75 nucleotides long. Lineage: Eukaryota; Metazoa; Chordata; Mammalia; Chiroptera; Vespertilionidae. The record is from Rfam.